GCGGGAUUAGCACAUCGGUAGUGCAUCAGCUUCCCAAGCUGAGGAGGAGGGUCCGACUCCCUUAUCCCGCU
RNAcentral lists this transfer RNA (71 nucleotides) under Candidatus Cryptobacteroides aphodequi. RNAcentral describes it as "tRNA-Gly". It matches the Rfam family "tRNA". Rfam says of the family: Transfer RNA (tRNA) molecules are approximately 80 nucleotides in length. Their secondary structure includes four short double-helical elements and three loops (D, anti-codon, and T loops). Lineage: Bacteria; Pseudomonadati; Bacteroidota; Bacteroidia; Bacteroidales. The record is from RNAcentral.